RNAcentral lists this ribosomal RNA (2198 nucleotides) under Euperipatoides rowelli. Its description in RNAcentral is "eukaryotic LSU rRNA". It matches the Rfam family "Eukaryotic large subunit ribosomal RNA", at positions 1 to 1832 of the family's 3401-position model. The record is from RNAcentral. Lineage: Eukaryota; Metazoa; Onychophora; Udeonychophora; Euonychophora; Peripatopsidae.
GCCUGACCUCGGAUCGGACAAGAUCACCCGCUGAAUUUAAGCAUAUCAUUAAGUGGAGGAAAAGAAACUAACGAGGAUUCUCCCGGUAGCGGUGAGCAAAAGGGGAAGAGCCAAUGCCGAAUCCCGCGGUCCAUGCUACGGCCUCCGGGAACUGUGGCAUAAGGGAAGGACACCUUCUGGUCCAUCCACAGAGGCCCGAGUCUCUGCGAACGGAGCACACACCCUGGGCGGGUGUGAGGCCCCUAGUGGUCAAACUACACCGGCCAGUCGGAACCUCCUGAGAGUAGGGUUGCCGAAGUGGGUGGUAAACUCCAUCUAAGGCUAAAUACUCAUGGCAUGACCGAUAGUGAACAAGUACCAUGAGGGAAAGUUGAAAAGAACUUUGAAGAGAGUUCAACAGUACAUGAAACCUCUCGGAGGUAAACGGGUGGAACCUCGAAGCCCAAACCGAAGGGCAAAUUUCCUCUGGGGAGGAUGCCAUGACCGGUGGACAGGCGGUCAGAAGGUCAGUGCGAUGCAGAGGCAUGGCCUGGUGGCUUCGCGCCAUCAGCAAGUCAUGGUUACCCGUCCGUCGUUACCUGGUAAUCCGCCUGGCCACCGAGGACGACCCACGCCCAUGAGCGCAGGUUCUGACACAGCCGGCCUCAUCCAUUCAGGUGGACGGGAUGAAGGGCCUCACCACCUUGUGCUAUCUGCUCCCGUCAAUCCAGCUGAUGAUCUCGGCAUGGGAGUUUCACAGAUGGUGCGGUCUCCAUAGCAGCAGGGUAGGUAGCCACCUUCAUGGCCAGGUGUCGGUCAGUGGCGAGUAGGUCAGUCAUCCGCCCAUCCCAUCUUGAAUCACAGACCAAGGAGUUUAACAUGUGCUCGAGUCAUAGGGUUUCCCUCAAAGCCCGAAGGCGCAAUGAAAGUGAACCUUAGGCAGGAUCCCCGUAGGGCCAUUUUUUUUCGGCAGCUGACGGGGCACACCGCCGGCCUGUCUCAUUUGGUUGGCCUUGUCGUUUCACCACGGCAGGGUUGGUGGAGGCGGAGCGAGAGCGUACACGUUAGGACCCGAAAGACGGUGAACUAUUCCCGGACAGGACGAAGCCGGUGGAACCUCCGGUGGAGGUCUGUAGCGAUUCUGAUGUGCAAAUUGAUCAUCGGAUCCGAGUAUAGGGGCGAAAGACUAAUNGAACCGUCUAGUAGCUGGUUCCCUCCAAGUUUCCCUCUGGAUAGCUGGAGCUUGGAGUUUUAACACAUCCGGUGUCAUCUGGUAAAGCGAAUGAUUACAGGCCUCGGGGGCGAAACAGCCUCGACCUAUUCUCAAACUUUGAAUGGGUGAGAUGUCCGACGCUUUCCUAACUGAAGCUCGGCUACUCGCACGAGAGCUCCAAGUGGGCCGCUUUUGGUAAGCAGAACUGGCGCUGUGGGAUGAACUGAAUGCCGGGUUAAGGCGCCCGAUGUGUGGGCACUCAUCAGAUCCCAUAAAAGGCAUCGGUCGCUAUAGACAGCAGGACGGUGGCCAUGGAAGUCGGAAUCCGCUAAGGAGUGUGUAACAACUCACCUGCCAAAGCGACUGGACCUGAAAAUGAAUGGCGCUGGAGCAUCGAGCCUAUCCCCGGCCACCUCGGCAAAGAGAAAGGUACCAGGCCGAGAUGAGUAGGAGGGCUAUGGCGGUGAGCUCAGAACAGCAAGGUGUGAGCCCAUCCAGAGCCGUCGCAGAUCUUGGUGGUAGUAGCAAAUACUCGAGCAAGACCCUCGAGGGCCGAAGUGGAGAAGGGUUCCAUGUGAAUAGCGGUUGAACAUGGCUCAGUGGAUCCUAAGACCAAUCCGGCAGGAGGUCUAUUUUUAUCGGCGGCUUUACUAUUUAUAGAUGACUGGGCACCCGAAAGUCGAAAGGGAAUCGGGUUAAUAUUCCUGGACCCGGACAUGGAAGUCGGCCAUCUGCCGCGAGGAGAGAGAGUGGGGCAGAAACUUUCCUCCCAUCAGUGGUGGCAUAGCCAGUAACCUUUCAGGUCUAUGUGUGUUCAAUUUGGUAGCAGUAAAUUUUUCAGUUACGCUACCUCCCCCCCCCUGUUACCGAAACUUGGUGUGUUUUCAUUGCCGGGAUUCUUGACACCUUUCGCCCUGCCACCGACCACAACCUGUCUUGGUCGGGGAUCGGCAGGAGCGAAAAGGCCCAUUGAAAUCAAUUAAAAGAUGGUGAUGUGUAGCGGGGG